UAAUAAUAGCUUUCAUGCAACUAAAGAUGUUGGAUUUCUGCUGGGUCUCAUUGAAACUACCCGAUUAGAGUUACUGGAAGAACUGAAACACACACAAGCCAACUAGGCUUCACUCCCAGAUUCGACAGUUUGAAGGUUCUCAUAUCUCAGUGGCAUAAUCAACACUGGAGAAAACAGACCUGGGGAAUAAGAGUUAUUGGUGUUCAGAGUCACAAGUCCCCUCUACUGCACCCCUCCUGCCUUCCACUUGACCACUCCCACUGAGCCCCCCAGGCUCACAGUUUGUUCCCAGAAGGUGGUAGAUUUUGUAAGAUCCGGACUUCCUACCUUAAGUUUUGUUUCAGAGGCUGAGGAAGACUCAUUACAUCCGUGGAGUCCUUGACACACGUCCUGGGUCUUCCAGCUGAUUCUGAUUGUCCUGUCAUUUGCUCAGAAAGCCGUGGCCCUAUCAGCUGGUGUUGUUCAGUCGCCUGUGUGUAUUUGUGCAAUGACAAUAGUGUCACAUCUGUCGUUUGUGUGGGCGGUGUCACCAAUGAGGGACCACAGCUCCUCUAACUCCCACGCCAACAAACGUGGAACCCAGAUGCCUGGCUCUCAGCUAAAUAAAAUGUUGGUCGUAUAAA
Alexandromys fortis (reed vole) is the source of this 623-nucleotide long non-coding RNA. RefSeq lists it as uncharacterized. NCBI's taxonomy places the organism in Eukaryota, Metazoa, Chordata, Mammalia, Rodentia, Cricetidae. The transcript has 3 exons. The record is from RefSeq and is a predicted model, not a curated record.